Molecule: ribosomal RNA, 236 nt
Filed under: uncultured bacterium
Lineage: Bacteria
Description: partial 16S ribosomal RNA
Rfam family: Bacterial small subunit ribosomal RNA
Source: RNAcentral
UGAGUGACCUGCCGAUUUGUGGGGAUAGCCGGGCCAACGCCCGGGUAAUACCGCAUACGCUCUUCUUGGGGCAUCUCUAGAAGAGGAACCCUCCGGGGCAAAUCGAGGGACUCGCGGCCUAUCAGCUAGUUGGCGAGGUAACGGCUCACCAAGGCUACGACGGGUAGCUGGUCUGAGAGGAUGGCCAGCCACAUUGGGACUGAGACACGGCCCAGACUCCUACGGGAGGCAGCAGG